GACGAACGCUGGCGGCGUGCCUAAUACAUGCAAGUAGAACGCUGAAGCGAGGAGCUUGCUCUUCUUGGAUGAGUUGCGAACGGGUGAGUAACGCGUAGGUAACCUGCCUUGUAGCGGGGGAUAACUAUUGGAAACGAUAGCUAAUACCGCAUAACAAUGGAUGACACAUGUCAUUUAUUUGAAAGGGGCAAUUGCUCCACUACAAGAUGGACCUGCGUUGUAUUAGCUAGUAGGUGAGGUAAUGGCUCACCUAGGCGACGAUACAUAGCCGACCUGAGAGGGUGAUCGGCCACACUGGGACUGGGACACGGCCCAGACUCCUACGGGAGGCAGCAGUAGGGAAUCUUCGGCAAUGGGGGCAACCCUGACCGAGCAACGCCGCGUGAGUGAAGAAGAUUUUCGGAUCGUAAAGCUCUGUUGUAAGUCAAGAACGGGUGUGAGAGUGGAAAGUUCACACUGUGACGGUAGCUUACCAGAAAGGGACGGCUAACUACGUG
RNAcentral lists this ribosomal RNA (497 nucleotides) under uncultured bacterium. RNAcentral's name for it is "partial 16S ribosomal RNA". It matches the Rfam family "Bacterial small subunit ribosomal RNA", at positions 28 to 507 of the family's 1533-position model. The record is from RNAcentral.